RNAcentral lists this transfer RNA (51 nucleotides) under Vagaria parviflora. RNAcentral describes it as "tRNA-Leu". The record is from RNAcentral. Lineage: Eukaryota; Viridiplantae; Streptophyta; Magnoliopsida; Asparagales; Amaryllidaceae.
AGAGUGAUCCAUAAACUGAGAGAAUCGGGAGGGUUCAGUCCCUCUUUCCCC